This 253-nucleotide ribosomal RNA is filed under the name uncultured bacterium. Its description in RNAcentral is "partial 16S ribosomal RNA". It matches the Rfam family "Bacterial small subunit ribosomal RNA", at positions 524 to 776 of the family's 1533-position model. The record is from RNAcentral.
UACGUAGGGUGCAAGCGUUGUCCGGAAUUACUGGGCGUAAAGGGUUCGUAGGUGGUGCGGCAAGUUGGAAGUGAAAUCUCUGGGCUUAACCCAGAGGCUGCUUUCAAAACUGCCGCGCUCGAGUGCGAGAGAGGUCAGUGGAAUUGCAGGUGUAGCGGUGAAAUGCGUAGAUAUCUGCAGGAACACCCGUGGCGAAGGCGGCUGACUGGAUCGCAACUGACACUGAGGAACGAAAGCUAGGGGAGCAAAAGGG